This is a long non-coding RNA of Lagopus leucura (white-tailed ptarmigan), 3221 nucleotides long. RefSeq lists it as uncharacterized. The record is from RefSeq and is a predicted model, not a curated record. The transcript has 10 exons. Lineage: Eukaryota; Metazoa; Chordata; Aves; Galliformes; Phasianidae.
CUGGGCCUUGCUGCACCAUUCCUUGAAUGCAAAGCAAUUCAAGGAAAAGAGUAACCUCUGUUACAUUAGAAAUCACACGUUUCUGACCCAGAAAGAGAGGAAUUUCACAGCCUCCCAGGACACGUGCUGGAGGGAGGAUUUCUGGAGCCUAAACCAGAGAAGCCCAGGAGAUGCUGGUGUGAAGGCUCACUGCAAGCAUCUGCUGCUUCUGGAGGAGGUCCUGUGGCAAUGCAUGUGCUCAGGAUGAAUAGGAAUUGAAGUUAGCAGAAGAAACAACUCCUUUGUAGUAAUGCUCUGUAGGUGUUAUCAGGGCUAAUCUUAUGGUGGCUCUAAGGACUUUUGGACUAAGGUUUUAGUCCAAAAAUUUUACUGCUCAGGUCCAUGCUACCCCAUUUGUCAGUUGUUUACACCCUACAUAUGGAUUAGCACUGUAUGCUAACCAUGAAAACCUGUUCUGCUCUUAACCCACCUGAAUGAAGCACUGAUGCAGCUCACCACAUCUGAUAUUUAUCUUUACUUCCCUAAGAUGCUGGACCACAAAAAGCAGGAACAGAUUUCCUUCAGGAAACAUACCUUGGCCCCUGUCCACCGUCAGAUAGUUGGGAGUGAGGUGGUCUUCGCAGUGAUUAAGCACAGAUUUUGCAGAGAAGGGAUAAAGCGUCGUGGGCAAGGACCUGUGGACUGAAAGUCAGAGUAACUGCAAUGCAAUGCCAUCACCCCAUCUCACAGCUCAGAGCCUUUGCACAUCUCAUGGGCUGCCUGCAGCCUACACAGUUCACAGAGUGGAAAAAGGAAUUGAAGAAGCAAAAAUAAAUAUUGAAUCACGUAAGAAUUAAAUAUCACCUAUUUAAAUAGCAAUUACGCUGCUAAAAACAAGAUCACCACACCUGUACAAGAAAAGACAAGCAAGCCCAAAACAUCUGUUUGCAUCCACCUGCCAAGCACCUGUUCCGCUGUUUCAAUGCCAUUUGAUUGCUGGAGAUGUAGAGGCUCUUGUGAGGCCGGUCGUCUCACAGGGAACUGUAUGCAGAAUCCAUCAGCCCACGCUCCUCAUCACGAACUCAGUUGUUCUUUGAGACCAUCUCCCAGAGAUGAGGAAGAUGUGUUAAUCCAAAUGAAGAGACGCAGCCAAGCUUGGAGCAUCCUCUCUGCUGCUUCCCAAGUAUUUUCUCAGGUAUUAAACUAGCACUGGACUCAACUAAGAGGAGUGAUCAAACUAUCUGCUAAAGAACUCAAACAGGAACUGGAAGCUGAACUUCAGAAUCACGAAGAGCACUGCUACAGCAUGAGAAAAAUCUGGAUGAAGACAUGAACUGGAGACAUGUCUACCACACUACAAGAAAUUGAAAGAAUACAAUCCCAUUUGACUCUAAAAAUCUUUCUAGGCUAAUUACCAGCUCACAAAGCAGAGAAAUUAAGGCAGAGAGGGCAUGUUCAUGAUGACAACCUUUACCCAUUAGCAAGCUUUGCAUUUUCCCAAGGCUGAAGACAGUUUAGCCCUGACAAAUGCAAUCAGUGAUAUGCAGGCGUAACCUCCAGAAAUAAGCUCACAUUUUUAGGAUCCACAGGGCAAAAGAUGGACUGCAGUAGGUCACUAUUAAAAUAUUUGAAAUACAGCUUGGCCAGUGCUGAAAUGGCACAGUUGGCCUGAAGUCGCUUCAAGGUCUCCUGGCAUCUGAGUGUUUCCCCAGUGGCUUUGUGCAGUAAAGUGUUAACUUCUCCUGAGUGGUUAUGUAUUUAAGGCAGUAACUUUAAAAUAAGGAAUUGCAACCUUAGAGCAAAGCUGCUAUUUUGAGAAUUUUAAACCAUUAUUGACUCCUGUCAGAUCAGUUUCUAGACUUAUUGACUCAAGAAGUAAAUAUAGACUGAGAGAAAGCGAGGUCAAGUCAAUAUUUAUCUUGCAGAUCAAUACAUUUUGAUACUAACCAAAAAUUAAGCUCAAUAAAUGCAUAUAUUAUAUACAGCAAGGUUAGGAGAGAUCCAUUCAGAAAAUUUGUCAAUUUGAAAUUUCCCAAUGGAAUCUAACCUUUUGGAUUCAAUUUCCAUUAGAAAUUCUGUCCCUUUAAGGUUCCGUAAGUGACUGAUGACGAGCCCCCAUCACCCAAUCAGAUUUCCAGAUGAUAGUUGAAUAGCAGUGAAAGGAAAAGGAAAGAAAGAUGAAGUGAGAAAAAGUUGGUCGCAGGAGCUCAAUCACGGCGUUAGGAGGAGGCAGACUCGGCAGUGAUUGAAAUACCUAAAAAGAAAAAAAGAAAACUGUUGGUUUCAUUGGAGCGAGUUUCGAGGUCUGUCUGUUUGCGCACAGUCCAAAUCUCAGACAGCUCAGCUCAGGGUUUGUACCAUCAGGAGAACGGAAGAGCUGGCAAGCUGAGACACUACCAGUACUUUGUGGAAACCGACAUAUGAAUUUGUUCUACAAAUGUGCCAGGGACACACUGAUCCAACAGUUAGAUCACUUCCAGAAGACACCGAGUUAGAUCUCCGAGUUCACUUCCAAUUGCUGACUACUACUAUCCAAUAAAAGAAAAUUUCUGCAUAAAGUAAACAAGUAUAUCAGAGGAAGACUGACUGUCACUGCAGAGGGAAGAGGGAAUGAGAAUGAGAAUUGCAAGAGAAAAAAUCAUGAAAAAAUUCCUCCUUCUCUGGGAUGAAUACAGGGGAUUGGAAACGUUCUGGGAUUUCAUCAUCAACUUCCCAGCUUGACAACGAGACCCUCGUGACCCAGCAAUGAGUCCCAGUUCCCACCUGGGUGCCUCUGGAGAGUGACAAAUCUCUUGGAUGUGCUCUCACAUCCCAGAAGCACAGGCCAGGAACAUCUGUCUGUUCCUUCCUUUCCUUCAGACUGCCCCGAGGAGAAAGGGAGGCAGGCAAGUAAGGAUAUGAAAGGCAAACACUCAACUGGCCGUGUCACAUUAGCCAACUUAAAUAAUUCCUCUUGGCUGUGGAAACAGCCUUCCCAUCCAAAGCUGUCUUUUUUUUUUUUCUUUUUUUUUUUUCUUUUUUUUUCCCCCUUUUUUUCCCCCCCAAAAAACAAGAACAACUUAUUUCCAAUUUUGGGCAGCUUCCCUGGCUGUGGGCCAGCUCUCCCCACUGCCUCUCUGUGCUACUUCCCAACACCUCUCAAGUGAUCUGACUGAGUGCCUCAGGGAUCAAACUUUACCGAACAGGAAAAUCAAAGUAUGCAAAUGAAGCUCGGGUUAUUACAUAUAUAAUGAUGAAAACGA